Molecule: ribosomal RNA, 465 nt
Filed under: uncultured bacterium
Lineage: Bacteria
Description: partial 16S ribosomal RNA
Rfam family: Bacterial small subunit ribosomal RNA
Source: RNAcentral
GACGAACGCUGGCGGCGUGCUUAACACAUGCAAGUCGUACGGUAAGGCCCUUUCGGGGGUACACGAGUGGCGAACGGGUGAGUAACACGUGAGUAACCUGCCCACAACUUUGGGAUAACGCUAGGAAACUGGUGCUAAUACUGGAUAUGUGCUCCUGCUGCAUGGUGGGGGUUGGAAAGCUCCGGCGGUUGUGGAUGGACUCGCGGCCUAUCAGCUUGUUGGUGGGGUAGUGGCCUACCAAGGCGGCGACGGGUAGCCGGCCUGAGAGGGUGACCGGCCACAUGGGGCAGAAGAAAAGGCCAGGACUCCUGGGGGAGGAAGCGGGGGGGAAUAGUGCAAAGGGGGAGCAAGCCUGAGGCAACAACGCCGGGGGGAGGAGGAGGUCCUGGGGGUUAUAAACCACUAAAAGCAGGGACGAGGUUUUUGGGGAGGGUACGGGAAGAAGAAGCACCGGCAAACUCCGUG